GACGAACGCUGGCGGCGUGCUUCAUACAUGCAAGUCGAACGAGAAGCUGACUUCGGUCAGUGGAAAGUGGCGGACGGGUGAGUAAUAUGUAGGAAAUCUGCCUUUAGGAGGGGGACAACAGAGGGAAACUUCUGCUAAUACCCCAUAUGAGCGUAGCUGAAAUGCUAUUCUUGAAAACUCCGGUGCCUAAAGAUGAGCCUGCAUCUGAUUAGCUAGUUGGUAGUGUAAUGGACUACCAAGGCGACGAUCAGUAGCUGGUUUGAGAGGAUGAUCAGCCACAAUGGGACUGAGACACGGCCCAUAAUCCUACGGGAGGCAGCAGUAGGGAAUUUUGCGCAAGGGGCGAAAGCGUGACGCAGCAACGCCGCGUGAACGACUAAGCCCUUCGGGGUGUAAAGUUCUGUCAGUGGGGACGAAACUUGACGGUACCCACAGAGGAAGCACCGGCUAACUCCGUG
This 458-nucleotide ribosomal RNA is filed under the name uncultured bacterium. RNAcentral describes it as "partial 16S ribosomal RNA". It matches the Rfam family "Bacterial small subunit ribosomal RNA", at positions 28 to 507 of the family's 1533-position model. The record is from RNAcentral.